UUAAUGGAGAGUUUGAUCCUGGCUCAGGACGAACGCUGGCGGCGUGCCUAAUACAUGCAAGUCGAGCGGGGUUAUGUAAAAGCUUGCUUCUACAUAACCUAGCGGCGGACGGGUGAGUAACACGUAGGCAACCUGCCCACAAGACAGGGAUAACUACCGGAAACGGUAGCUAAUACCCGAUACAUCCUUUUCCUGCAUGGGAGAAGGAGGAAAGGCGGAGCAAUCUGUCACUUGUGGAUGGGCCUGCGGCGCAUUAGCUAGUUGGUGGGGUAAAGGCCUACCAAGGCGACGAUGCGUAGCCGACCUGAGAGGGUGAUCGGCCACACUGGGACUGAGACACGGCCCAGACUCCUACGGGAGGCAGCAGUAGGGAAUCUUCCGCAAUGGGCGAAAGCCUGACGGAGCAACGCCGCGUGAGUGAUGAAGG
RNAcentral lists this ribosomal RNA (427 nucleotides) under Paenibacillus polymyxa. RNAcentral's name for it is "bacterial SSU rRNA". It matches the Rfam family "Bacterial small subunit ribosomal RNA", at positions 1 to 414 of the family's 1533-position model. The record is from RNAcentral. Lineage: Bacteria; Bacillati; Bacillota; Bacilli; Caryophanales; Paenibacillaceae.